Molecule: ribosomal RNA, 497 nt
Filed under: uncultured bacterium
Lineage: Bacteria
Description: partial 16S ribosomal RNA
Rfam family: Bacterial small subunit ribosomal RNA
Source: RNAcentral
GAUGAACGCUGGCGGCGUGCUUAACACAUGCAAGUCGAACGAAGCAUUUAGAACGGAUUACUUCGGUUUGAAGUUCUUUAUGACUGAGUGGCGGACGGGUGAGUAACGCGUGGGUAACCUGCCUUGUACUGGGGGAUAGCAGCUGGAAACGGCUGGUAAUACCGCAUAAGCGCACAAUGUUGCAUGACAUGGUGUGAAAAACUCCGGUGGAAUAAGAUGGACCCCCGUCUGAUUAGCUAGUUGGUGAGAUAACAGCCCACCAAGGCGACGAUCAGUAGCCGACCUGAGAGGGUGACCGGCCACAUUGGGACUGAGACACGGCCCAGACUCCUACGGGAGGCAGCAGUGGGGAAUAUUGCACAAUGGAGGAAACUCUGAUGCAGCGACGCCGCGUGAGUGAAGAAGUAAUUCGUUAUGUAAAGCUCUAUCAGCAGGGAAGAUAGUGACGGUACCUGACUAAGAAGCUCCGGCUAAAUACGUGCCAGCCGCCGCCGUAA